GUAUGCCUACGGGGGGCAGCAGUGAGGAAUAUUGGUCAAUGGGCGGGAGCCUGAACCAGCCAGGCCGCGUGAAGGAAGAAGGCGCCAGGCGUCGUAAACUUCUUUUGUCGGGGAACAAAGGGCGCCACGCGUGGCGUUGUGAGUGUACCCGAAGAAAAAGCAUCGGCUAACUCCGUGCCAGCAGCCGCGGUAAUACGGAGGAUGCGAGCGUUAUCCGGAUUUAUUGGGUGUAAAGGGUGCGUAGACGGGAAAUUAAGUUAGUUGUGAAAUCCCUCGGCUUAACUGAGGAACUGCAACUAAAACUG
This 305-nucleotide ribosomal RNA is filed under the name uncultured bacterium. RNAcentral's name for it is "bacterial SSU rRNA". It matches the Rfam family "Bacterial small subunit ribosomal RNA", at positions 333 to 635 of the family's 1533-position model. The record is from RNAcentral.